This 291-nucleotide long non-coding RNA is filed under the name Lepisosteus oculatus (spotted gar). RNAcentral's name for it is "lncRNA (ENSLOCG00000021572.1)". The record is from RNAcentral. Lineage: Eukaryota; Metazoa; Chordata; Actinopteri; Semionotiformes; Lepisosteidae.
AUGACUGUGGUGAGAGUUAUGAGUCUUUCUCUGCUGUUUUUCUGCACCCGCUACGGUCAUCGUUGUUCUUUCCUUAAAAUGUUCCUAACAAGUUUCACAGCCCGGCUGGACCACCUGGCAAAGCUGUGGGCUGCAAGUGGAGCCAACCAGCUGCGUGUUCAUGCCCAGAGUUUGGCGUGUAACAGCCUUGUGAUUCAGUGCCUCUCAGCAGACCGGAGUUCCAAUGCGACAAACAGUUGUGCCCUGAGAGUAGCUCUGCACACUGCAUUUGUUGUAGCUGACAGUGCGUGA